GGAGAAUCUGCCUUUUUAAUGCCAUUCUUCGCCUCGCUGUGCUGUGAUCCCGGCCGGAACCCGGGCCCGGGAGUGGCUCUGGGGCUCUUUGGUAACUUAUCGCCUCGCCCUACUAGGAACAUUUGGAAUUGCACGCUGCUCUUGUUAGAAUCAACUACCAUCCAUGUGUCUCCCUGGACAUGAUACUUCGGCUGAACAGAUUAACUCCCAAUUACUUCCGAUUAUUACAGAUGCAACUUGCGGGUGAAGCUGUGGUCCAGAGUACUGGCCGACUCAUUAACUUCUCUGCACUGCUCCUAGCUGUAGGGGGUAUCGGUCUGUCCUCCUAUAGCACCAGAAGAAUGACUGAAGCAGCUGAAACCAGUGCAGUUGUUGGAACAGGGGCAUCGGAGGAGAGGAAUGAACUGCGCCAAAGUGGAUAAUGGACAGAUGGACACAUGAUUCCCGUCACUUAAAGUGGUCCCCUCUCUGCAUUCUAUCUGAAUAGACGAGCCAUAUUAAGAGGAGUAGUUGGUAAAAUGAAUGACUGAUACAGAUGCUGCUCCUACUACUCCCUGAAUGUGGUCAAUGGGACAGUGAGAAUUUUUGUUACUGCCUCAGGCAAUCUCUUCAUGUAUCACUAUUCCUUCUCACUGGGAGAGAACAGACAGAAAGUUGGCUUGAGGUCCAGUACAAGGUGUCACUGUGAUUAAGCAGCAAGUUACAUGUGGAACAAAUUAACAGUUAUAUUGGCAGCAAAUAUGAUCAUUGUACACUUAAGUUCUCAGUAUCAUUCAUAACCCAAGCUCUUACUGAGGUACCCCAUCACUCAUAACAUUAGGGUCUUUCCACCUGUGUAUCCCAUCUGAUUGUUGGGCUCUGACUGGGGUGUUGGGACAAAGGUUGUAGUUCGGAUGCCCCUCUUUAAGCACCAUAUCCUGGCAUGGCAUAAUUUUAAUAUUUAGGAAUGGUUCAGAAUUUAAAGAUCGAUGUGUGGAAAAUGGACUUGUUAUCAGUGGGGUUGCCAAUCUUCCUGGAAUAUUCUGGAGUCUCCAAGAUUUAAAGGUUAAUCUCCUGGAUGCUAUGGUGGGCAAGUCUUGGAAAAAAUCAUAGGGGCAUUAAAAAUAUAAGUUCUCAUUUUCUUUGAACAUCUUUGUUUAUUGGUUAUACAAAUGUCAGAGAUGGAGAAAAAUACUAUUUGUUUGGGUGGCAAGCUAGGAGGUGGGAGGUCAUGUGAUAAAGCCUCCAGGAAUACUUCCACCCAGAGUUGACAAACCUAAUUAUCAGACAAACUGAACUAGUUAAAAUCAGCUGCUCUUUCAGACUAGGCCAGAGUGGAAAAACCUGUCAAAUGGCUCCACGACUGACUAAUAUGCCCCUGUUUAAGUCAUAGAUUCUAAUUUGUAUUUGUUUGCCUCCCACUUUGGGAAGGCCUACAAGCAGCUUAUACAAGGAACCUGUAGUAACACAUGUCAAUAAAAUAAUAUGUAUAGUUAAUAGAUAGUAAGCACAGCACUGUAGCGAGCUGACGUAACAGUGAUUGUGUCCAUGACUGGAAACUCAAGGGCAAAUUGUAGCUGCUGCAGUGCUGUACUUCUGCCAGUGAGUGGUGCCAGUGAGCAGCAUGUGCUGGCACCCUCUACUGGCGAAUGGGAGUUAACUGCAUACUAGUGCCUCUACUGGCAGAUAAAGUUACAGAUAAUGAAAAGGACAACAUUUGCCAAUUUUUAUAGGUUAACUUUGAAGAACAGCUCUGUAAGGCCGUUUGCUCCCUACCAGCAGCAGUACCUUGCGAGACAAAUGAUCUUUUUAUCUUUUUAGAUUUCCAGCAUCCGCAGUGUUUUGCUUUGAUCUUUUUAUCAUGGUGUUUUCAUACCUGAAUAAAAAUGCCAUAGUGCUGAUUUGAACUUAAACAUUGGAACAAAACAAAGUAAUUCAGCCAUUUAGUUAUCACCUAGCUCACCCCAUCGCCCAGCUCCAGGCUAUCCAAGCCUGAAAAUUAACACAAAAUUAGACUUGUUGGUGCCAGGAUUUUCACAGUUGCAUUGAAGAAUGAACAUAACAAAUCUGAACUCAUUAAAUUCAUUGAUGCUAGGAUCAGGAGUAUUUGUAAAUUCUGCCAUUAGACAAACCCCAUCCCCUCAUCGUCACUGUUGUGUUAUUUAUUUGGUUUGACAGGUUCUCAGGGUUAACAUCUACAAGCGAUUGUGGGCAACUGUUUGGACACCUUCCAGUGACACUAAAAUGCAAGUUACGUAACAGCUGAUAUUAUUGGUUUUGUAGAUUUUUCUUUAUAUAAGUACAGGCCCCCGGCCUGGAGCUGCCCUACAUACGCUUCACAGAACAUUGGGUUGGUUUGAAACACAAACAGAUGUGACAGCCGGAAUGUGCCUAAGGGAGAACGCUCAUCAAACACAGUGCACUUUGCUCAGUACUGGAAUGCAGCUCAGGCUUUCUCAGUCACAGCUCUCAUGCAAACCUGGACACUGCCUCCCUUAGUCAGGAACACUGUGGUUUAUUGUCUGAAUUGCCAACACAUUUCUCAACAUGUACAAAGAAACUUGGCAGUGCUACAUGCUCCUCCUGGGCUACUGAAACAGAAAUUGGGUUUGUAAUGUUUAUUGUCUGUAAUAUUUGCUCUGCUGACACCAUAAUGCAGUUAUCA
Molecule: long non-coding RNA, 2644 nt
Organism: Carcharodon carcharias (great white shark)
Lineage: Eukaryota; Metazoa; Chordata; Chondrichthyes; Lamniformes; Lamnidae
Exons: 3
Source: RefSeq, a predicted model, not a curated record